CGUAAAUAUUUAUAUAAUUUUAAUUAUUAAUAUAUUAUUUUAAUAUAAUUUUUUAAAAAUAAUAUUUUUUAACUAUAUAAUAAUUAUUUUUAAUUAAAAUAAUUAUUUUUAAUAUAAUUAAUAUUACCCGCGGGUUAAGCGGGUUACCCGCGGGUUUUUGCGGGGCGGGUGCGGGUAGAAAUUUUUUUGUUUGUGAGUUAUGCGGGUCGAUUUUUUGAAUCAAAAAAAUGAUUCAACCCGCAGCGGGGCGGGAC
This 254-nucleotide long non-coding RNA is filed under the name Brassica rapa (field mustard). Its description in RNAcentral is "long non-coding RNA (BRAP_LNC006787)". Lineage: Eukaryota; Viridiplantae; Streptophyta; Magnoliopsida; Brassicales; Brassicaceae. The record is from RNAcentral.